UUUCUGGUGAUUCGAGCGCCCUGGCACCACCUGAUCCCUUUCCGAACUCAGAAGUGAAACGGGGCAGCGGCGACGAUAGUUGUGGGGCAACCUACCGCGAAAAUAGCUCAUCGCCAGAACA
Molecule: ribosomal RNA, 121 nt
Filed under: Candidatus Woesebacteria bacterium GW2011_GWB1_45_5
Lineage: Bacteria; Candidatus Woeseibacteriota
Source: RNAcentral